Molecule: unclassified non-coding RNA, 327 nt
Filed under: Hevea brasiliensis (rubber tree)
Lineage: Eukaryota; Viridiplantae; Streptophyta; Magnoliopsida; Malpighiales; Euphorbiaceae
Source: RNAcentral
AAAUGAAAUUAUUGGUAAUCAAAACAAAACUCAAUAAUUAAUCAAAAUUGUUAAACUAAAUUAAAAUUGAUAAAUUAAAUUAAUAGGGACCUCAAUUUAAUCUAUCCCAAAUUAGUGGCCUAAUUUAAGAUAGACCAUCUAAUUGGUUAAUGGGUGGCCUCUUAACUAACUUGAGUCUCAUCAAUGAACAAUUAAAAUUUAUAUUAAUUUAAUGUGUUUGGAAAUCAAAUUAUUGGUAAUCAAAGUAAAACUCAAUACUUAAAUUAAUAAAUUAAAUCAAAGUUGAUAAAUUAAAUUAAUAGAGAUCUCAAUUUAAUCUAUCCCAAA